RNAcentral lists this ribosomal RNA (253 nucleotides) under uncultured bacterium. RNAcentral's name for it is "partial 16S ribosomal RNA". It matches the Rfam family "Bacterial small subunit ribosomal RNA", at positions 524 to 776 of the family's 1533-position model. The record is from RNAcentral.
UACGUAGGGUGCGAGCGUUGUCCGGAAUUAUUGGGCGUAAAGAGCUCGUAGGCGGCCUGUCGCGUCGGAUGUGAAAGCCCGGGGCUUAACCCCGGGUCUGCAUUCGAUACGGGCAGGCUAGAGUUCGGUAGGGGAGAUCGGAAUUCCUGGUGUAGCGGUGAAAUGCGCAGAUAUCGGGAAGAACACCAGUGGCGAAAGCGGCUCUCUGGGGACCAUCUGACGCUGAGGCGCGAAAGCGUGGGGAGCGAACCGG